This is a long non-coding RNA of Canis lupus familiaris (dog), 1980 nucleotides long. RefSeq lists it as uncharacterized. The record is from RefSeq and is a predicted model, not a curated record. NCBI's taxonomy places the organism in Eukaryota, Metazoa, Chordata, Mammalia, Carnivora, Canidae. The transcript is spliced from 6 exons.
CAGGUCGUCUGAUGUAUGAUCAGGCUGAGAUGCUCCUUAGAACAAGGAAUCCAAGAGUCGUCCCUUGCACACACUGUCAUCAACCAUCACUACCUCCCCCUCUGCUUCCAGCACAUCGCAGUCUCUUCUUAAUCCCAGGCUCCCAUCCUCACGCAGCACCACUGCCUGUCCCACCACGCAAUGGGCAACAAGUGCUAUCAGGGUCACCCUGCGUCCUGCCUGUCGGCUGCUCCCAAGGGCUGACCCUCCUCCGCCUUCGGAAACUCCCCCAAGGUGUCCCAAACCCACCCCCCGAGGCAGAUGCAAAAGCCCCAGGCAUCAGCGGGAGAGGGGGGAGAAGCAGCCAGCAGAGGAGCCGGGCAUCGGUUGCCUCCAAGCCGAGAUUAUGACCCAACACCUAGGACGGAAAACGAAGACGGACUUGAAGCUUUUACAAACACGCCAUUGUACUCACUUCUUAUUCAGAGUCGGGCUGCGCGCUCCGAGCUGCACGGGCAGGCAUUUUCCCCGGCUUUGUUUUACAAGAAGGGCUGCUGGGCCAAGUCGGAGCAUUUCGCCAGCUACAAGGAGAGCUUCCUAGUGAAAGCUGCGGAUGUGAGAACCGAGGGAAAGCCACAGACCCGCAGGAGGUCAGGCGGAGCACAAACACUCUUGAGGGUUUCAGCUUAAUACCUGCUUACUUCCGUAAGCACUGCCAGAUACUUCAGAUGGGGAUCUGACUCUAGCCCUGCAACAGGAGUUGCUGCUGGAUCCUAGACGCUGCAGAUAUUGUGCUUUUUACAGACUGAAGUUUUGUGACAACCCUACAUCAAGCAAGUCUAUCAGCAUCAUUUUUCCAACCGCAUUUGCUCACUUCAUGUCUUUGUGUCACAUUCUGGUACUUGUAAUAUUUCAAACUUUUCAUUAUUAUUUUGUUAUGGUGAUCUGUGAUUGGUGAUCUUUGAUGUUACUAUUGUAAUUGUUUUUGGGAUGCUAUGAAUCAGGCACAUAUAACUUAAUCAAGUAAAUAUUGUGUGUGUCCUGUGUGUGUUCCACUUACCGGCCGUUUCCAGUCUCUUUCCCUCUCCUCAGAACUCUCUAUUCUCUGAGACACAACAGUAUUUAAAUUAGACCAGUAAAUAGCCCUACAAUGGCCUUUAAAUGUUCAAGCAAAAGGAAGAGUCACCCGCACGCACCUGUCUCACUUCAAAUCAGAAGCUAGAAAUGAUGCAGCUUAGUGGAAAAAGCAUGUCGAAAGCCAAGAUAGGAUGAAAGCAAGGCCUUUUGCACCAGUUAGCCAAAUUGUGAAUGCAAAGGGAAAGUUCUUGAAGGAAGUUAAAAGUGCUACUCUGGUGAACAUACGAAUGAUAAGAGAGUGAAACAGCCUACUGCUGAUAUGGAGAAAGUUUGAAUGUCCUGGAUAGAAGAUCAAACCAACUACAAUAUUCCCCUAGGCCAAAGCCCAAUUCAGGAAAAGCCCUAAGUCUUCAAUUCUAUGCAGGCUGAGAGAGGUAAGGAAGAUGCAGAAGAAAAUUUUGAAGUUAGCAGAGGUUGGUUCAUGAGGCUUAAGGAAAAAAGCCAUCUCUAUAACAUCAAAGUGCAAGGGGAAGCAGCAAGUGCUGAAUAUAGAAGCUGCAGCAAGUUAUCCAGAAGAUCUAGCUAAGAGAAUUCAUGAAGAUAGCUACAUUAAACAGCAGAUUUUCAAUGGAGACAAAACUGUUCUUUUUCCAUUAUAUAUUCUUGGUUCCUUUGUAAGCAAAUUAAUUGACCAUAUAUGUGUUAUAUGGGUUAUUUCUGGACUUACUAUUCUGUUCCAUUGAUCUAUGUGUCUGUGUUUAUGCCAGUAUCAUACAGUUUUGAUUACUAUACCUUUGUAAUAUAGAUUGAAAUUGGGGAGCAUGAUGCCUUCAAUUAUGUUCAUCUUUUUCAAGAUUGCUUUGACUAUUCAGGAUCUAUUGUGGUUCUACACAAAUUUCAGGAUUGUUUUAGAUCUGUGAAAAA